CGGGAAUGUGUUUUGGACAUGUUGUUUCAAUAUGAGACAAUCAGCUGGGCCCUCUGCGGAAUGUCCCCGGAGACUGGAAACGACCUCCCAACAGGGUCAUUUGUUCAGCAGAAUUCUAAGUCGCAUUCUCCAACAUCUGCAUUCUAUUAAUACCUCCAGAAUAUUUCCAUCAGCUUUGGGAAAUCAGAAGAGAUGUUCAGCUCCAAAUCCUGGAGUCUUUUGAACACUGCUUUGUGACUCUUGCGUUCUGUGGGCGGAUCCUUGCUCCUGACCUCCUUCCCUUUAGUUUGCUGGGUGCAGGUGGAUGGUCACAUUUCUCAGUAAAACCUGAGGAAGAAGUUGAAGCCUCCUCGGUGUUCAAACCUUCUGGAGAUCUGAAAGGCACAGAGCCAGAGAGGACCAGGCCUUAGACAACUUGGUGGCAGUGGCUAUUAUCCGAACCUGUGUCAUGGCAGAUGCUGAAAGAGAGGAGCCAAAAAACAUCUAUUCAAUAGUUACCUUCAAAGAAUGGAAAAGUAAGCGUCUGCUACCAAUAACCACUAGAAACAUAAUUUUACCCAACAUGUACUUCAUUGCUUAUGACUCUAAUACACAGGGUCAGCUAGAUGAAUGAUAAGUCUUAGUAAAAAUUAUGGAGCAACUUUCUUGGAAAUUUAGAGAAAUGCCAGAGUGUGAUAAGGUCUCUGAUAGUGACAAAUGGCUUCCUGGUUGUAUGACUCAGAAAGAGCUCCUCUUUGCUGGCUGGAGCUGGCUGAGGAGGCAGGCUGAAAACCCUCACUGUGCAGGAGGGAGCAGCUACCUAACAGGGCUGAUGGUGUUUCCUGUGCUGUCUGUCUGUCCAGGGGAGAGUUCUGACAGUCCCACCUGGCUUCCUCUUCCAGGGCCUCCUGCUCCGCUUAACCCUUUAGCCAGGAGGGUCCCCUGCUUCCUGUCCGCGUUCCCACAGCUGCUGAGGGCCACAGCUCCCGCCUGUGCACAGAGGGUCCUUGCUGUGUGUACGAGAUGGUGGCUCCCUGCGCCAUGUGGCAGAUGUUCAGCAUCAGGAAUCAAAACAGCUUUCACACCACGCAGCACAUUCUUCUUCCAGUCCCGUUCAUUUCCUCUCGGUGGGAUGUGGAACAAUUUCUCUCAUCUGUUGCUCACUCAGUGAAACUGAGAAGUGGACAGAGGAGGCCAGAGACCGCAUGGAGCUUCCUGAGUCUUGACAUUCCAAGAAUACCCUCAACUGGUCCUCUCCUUUUUUCGAAAAACGUGACAAGCCUGUAAGACUAAGGGAAAGAGUAAAGCAGUUUCUGUUCAUUGUACGCUGGACAAAUUCCGAGUGGAUUCUGCAAUACUGAAUUAGCAUAGAGGACUUUCUGGAGGGAGAGAAGUGGACACUGUUCUUGACAGCUAUACUCAAUAUAUACUCACUACUUGGAAAAAACCAGGAAAGCAAAUGCACACUGGCAGCUUCUCACUAUGGACCAAUCAAAUGUUUCCCAUUUGAGUCUCGCAGUACUGUGAAAAGUUCCCUUUGGAUGUCUUCCUGCCAGAGGAUGGUUUGACUCCCUCCGCCAGUGCAGGCAAGAGGAGAGGAAGGAGCUACAGACAUUCAGUGGGCUCACAUCUUGGGCACUUGUUCUGAUCCAUGCUCCAGCCAUAAUGUGACUCCUUCACCAGAGGCCCAAACAAACAGGGCUGUCUGAUCUUGCACUUAAGCUUCUGGAGCCAUCAGCAAAAAUCAACCUCUCAUUACUUCAUAAGUGGCAUGCAUCAGAAGAAGACUUAAGUCCCACGGUGAGCCAGUGACUUAUCAGUUCAUACUCGCUGGAGUCAGAGGUCAGAAGAACAUAAGCCAACAACCCCUGGUUAUUCUCUGAAAUCUCCAUGAUGGCACUGGCUCUGCACAGGGCAGAGUUAGGAUACAAACCAGUGUGGUGUAGAUGUAUGGGUAGUGACUCUGGUUUACCUCCAGAUACAUUCUUGGGCACCCUAGUUGUCUUUUAUCAGAAAAGCCACAACUGACUCUAAGGCCAGCAUAAGAACAAAAGACAGAAGAAAACAUGGAGUCAGAAACUUGAAGUUACUGCGGGGAGGAAUAUCAGACAUUGAGGUUUCACUAACUGCCAAGCCAUGGGAUGUAACAUCGAAGAAAAUCUAAAAGUGUGUCAUGCCAGCUUGCCCUUCAACUGGAGCUCUGUGAGGCUGGAGCCACAACUGUAUUUCCGGGUAUAUCCCCACUCCUUGUGCUGGUGUGUGGGCACCUUCCCACCCAUCCCAGAAAGGAAGGCGAGGGGACUGAUGCAAUUCGUGGACUGAUCUUCCUAACAACACAAGUCAGCUUCAUGUUGAGCAUUCCUGGAGAACAAAAGUGUUUUUGCUGCCAAGAUGUCAGGUUCUUUUUAGAGAGCUAAAAAUUAUACACAUCAGAAUUUCUAAAAUAAACGCUGAAUCUGAACCUUCCAGGCAGUGUUCUUGUUUUUCUCCCUGAGCUAUCAAAGAACAAAUUUGUUCCUUCCUUUAUUAAUAAGUUUGUUGGAAAUCUGUUGUGCCAGCCCAUGACUAUUUUCCAGGAAAGCAGAUUAAUGCUAGAUUAUGAAAAUAAAUGAUAACAUAUUUACUGUGAGAACUAAUGAUAUCCUGAGUGCUAAGACAGUACACACUGCUUCUUCCAAGACUGGCAGGUAUGUUUCUGAAGUUGACUUCACUUCAGCGGAAGACACUCUGAGCUUACGUGACUGUGGGCUGCCCAACAUUGCAAAGAUACCAGCCUUGGCAGCAGCGUAUUUAGUACAACUCCAGUUGUGGAAACACUACUGUCACAUUAAAGAAAGGAUUCUUCCUGCCGUGUUGACAAGGAGUAGUGGAAUGGCAAGGCACCAGAAACUGUGGAGACCCAUACUCUUGUCUCAUUUCUGUCUUGCCUGCCUGUAGCCAGGUGGUGCUUUGAAGCCAUCCCAGCUUGUUUAUGAAUAACUCUAUGCUACUGGCCUUUGCUUAAAGUCUGCCUUAAGGACUUUUUCU
This is a long non-coding RNA of Heterocephalus glaber (naked mole-rat), 3006 nucleotides long. Lineage: Eukaryota; Metazoa; Chordata; Mammalia; Rodentia; Bathyergidae. The record is from Ensembl.